GUUUAUUUCAUUAUUAAUUGUUUGUUUAUGUGUUUUACAUUUAAAAUAUAUAUAUACUAUAUACUUUACAUACACAUGUAGCUCCACCUGGGGGUAAGAUCACAUUAGUGAAUUCAGCAUAAUCGAUAAAUGUAACAUAUUUAGCAAAUCUAGCCAUUUUUGUUCAUCCAUGAAAGAGAUAUGAAUUAAAUGAAGAGAACUAAAAAGUGCCACUAAAUAUAUCUACUUUUAAGUCAUUUUAGGAGAAUGCUCUUUCAUUGUUGGACUUGGAUACAGUUUUAGGACCAGUGUCACUUCUACCACUAUAACAUUGAUGCUAAUGAUGUUACUACAGUCAAUUAAUGGUUCUUGUUGAAUCUAAAGGAUUGAUUGGACAUGCUGGGAGAGAGCUUCAUACAUCUUUUAAAGUACAGACAGGAGGACGUGCAUUCACCAGAUAUUACCAGGGCAUCGUUCACUCCCCCUACAAACAGCAGGCAAGAUCCCUAUAGUCUCUCCCAGGUGAAAGACAUACCACUGCCUGUCAAGCCAGCAUUGUCAGAUGUGAAGCAUGUGGAGAAACGGUCAGGAUACAUAGCUCCUAAGCCCAGUCCUGACCUGUACCUCUCUAAGCCCUGUGUAAGUCUGAGUCAAAGUCUAGAGCCCAGCAAUGCCUUGUAUGAGAAAUGCCAGACCAACCCCCUGCAACUGAGCAGCCUCUCCGACAGCAAAGAGUUUCACAUUGACUCUGUGGAUCAGCAAGAAUGGCACACAUCAAAUGUGGAUGACUCAAGCCCCAAACAGCUUAGGUUCAUUCCUCAGCAGGCUGAUGUCCCUGAUGAUGGCUACCUGGUCAUGGACAGCAGCAUCAUGCUGAAUGGAGAGCCGCCAACAAACUCCAUGAUCAAUGGUUACCUGGACAGAAAGCUCCAAGAAGUGUACAGCCAGUACUUACAGGAGAGGCUGGCGUGCCCCGGGUCUUCUCCAGGUUGCAGCCUGCUUCCGCUCCUUCCCCAACCCAGCCUCCCUCAGCUCAGUCAACAGGCAUACCUGGACUCAAGCCUAGACAUCGAGGCCAGACCAAACCAAAUGACCCACAACGUCACCACCAGCCAGGGGCACCACAGCCAGCGGGUCAGCUCGGCCUUCAGUUCUCCAGUGCUACGCAUUUCCAAUGUAGAACAGCCUAAAAGACCUGGGCACUGUGACAGUGUUGUGAAUGUUUAAAGUUAGUAAUGUCUACAGUGACUUUCAAUGACAAAAAAUUGUAUUUAAACUGAAACAAAUAAAAUAGUAUACAAUGUGUAAGUAAAUUACUACAGAACAGUUGUCAGUUUUAUAAUCGUUUCUCCAUAUCAACAUAUUAUUGUCAUUUAUUAUCUUUUUGGUAAUAUUUUUAAGUUCCCUUAAUUGACAUUAUUAACUGCUAACAAACUAUGAACAUAUUAGUAUAUGUAUACAGUAUUAACAAACUAGAGGAAAACAUGGUUAAAACAUCUUGUUGUUAUUAAUGUUUUUCCACUCCCCUUGAUGCAUAGUUAUGCAAUCAAAACUCAGGUGACAUUGUAAAGGUGGCCAAAAGUCACAAUGGAAGAUAUGGAAGUUUUUUAAUUGGUGUGAUAUGAUGAAUUGUGCUUAACUGGAACAGGAACAAGAUCAAUUAACAUAAUAAAAAGGUACAUUUUCACUGAGAGGUUGUAUGAACUAAAUACAAUUUCAACUAAGUAAUAACCUGCCGUAUCUGUUGUUCAUUAUGUGUUCUUUGUGGUUUAUUUAUUUUAUGUUUUUUUUAUUUAUAAAAAGCUGCAUAUGUUAACAAUCCCUAAUAAAAAAAUCAGUCAGUAUUUAACAAGCACCAAUAAGAUAAGAUUCCUUCAUAAGCUAAAAAAGAACUACUGGAAGCACAAAAUGGCUAAAUAAUAUCUAUAAGCAUAAAGUAAUAUGUUUGGCAUUUUAGAAAAUGCAAAGUUUCAUUGUUCAUUUUAAGUAUUAGCACAUAUUUAAGGAGCAGCAAUUAAAU
Long non-coding RNA from Pygocentrus nattereri (red-bellied piranha), 1999 nucleotides. The record is from Ensembl. NCBI's taxonomy places the organism in Eukaryota, Metazoa, Chordata, Actinopteri, Characiformes, Serrasalmidae.